This 1701-nucleotide long non-coding RNA is filed under the name Pomacea canaliculata. RNAcentral's name for it is "uncharacterized LOC112554119, transcript variant X1". The record is from RNAcentral. Lineage: Eukaryota; Metazoa; Mollusca; Gastropoda; Architaenioglossa; Ampullariidae.
UCUUGUUAUAUUGUCAUAUUACAGACACUAAUAUACUAUAGAUACUGGUUAAACUUCAUGGUAGAGCUGACAGCUACCGAGGAGCCUCUCAGGCUUAACUCCAGUGAAUUCAGUGUUAGCUGGCAUUAAGUGGAGUGAUUUUAAAGUGAUUGAACAAGACACUUCUGUUGCGCUGGAAGGUGAGGUGGACAAGAAGCAAGUUUCGUUUUGCCUACUAGGCAAUACCAACAAUGUGUUGGACGGUGAGCUGUUGGGCCAAGAUGGCCAUGGUGACUUUGGUUUUCGGCGUGACACUGCACACUGUCGGCUGGACCUACAUGAACUGGAUGGCAUAUAAGACUUCCGGUUCCGUGCUGGAGAGAGUAGCGGGACUUUGGAAUCAGAAGUCAUGGAACAACAUCAUGGAUAUAGUGAGGAUCAUCGCGGCCACCUUCAACAUAUUCCUCCUGGUCAUCUUCUUCUUGCCGAUGAACUUGGAAUGCCGAAUGGCAAUAGCCGCGUUUGUCCUCCUCUGCCUCGUGUUGCAAAGUGUCUGAUACUCGUAUAUAUGCGUUUAUAUGAUUGUCUUCAUGUUGAAAAGUGUCUGACGCUCGUAUAUGUAAGUCUUUCAUUGUGUGUGAAUAUUUACAUCAAUUAUCAUGUUAUCUCUUGUAUAUACACAUCUGUACAUAGCUAUGGUAUGAUAAUGUGUGUGAGAGAAAGAACAGAAUGUAGAGGAACAUCUUAGUCUGCUUUUGGUGAUAUUAUAACAUUCUUAGUUGUGUGUGUGUGUGUGCGUGCGUUUGCGAGCACACUGGAGGGCUCAUGUCUACAAAUAGACUUAUUUGCCAACUUCGCCGUUUUAACGAGUACUUUAUGUUUACACGCAGCUUGUAUUUCAUGUUGUGUGUAUACCCAUCUGUACAUAGAUAUGGUACGUUAAUAAACACGUGACAAGCAUAUUUGAAUGAUUUUAUUUCUUUCUUACGUGUUCGAGUGCCGGUGUAUUCUGUACUUUUUUCAAUAGUCGAGAGGCGUGUGCAACAUGAAUCACAGAUAUAACAUCUUGCAGCUGCUUCCCUUAAAACACAUCGUAUCCACAUUUCUCAAUCCGUUAAAAAUAUAAUUAUGGUUUGUCCACUUAUGUCUUAAUCCAGUACAUCACCUGCAUGAUUCAAAACUGUAGUAUAUUGAAAUGUUUACACUCCUGUCAUACGGGACCAUGAUAUCCUGUUAUAUGGGACCAUGCCACUCCUGUCUUAUGGGACCAUGUCACUCCUGUCAUGAUGAGGCACUCAGGGCGCACGGGUGGGUUCGCUCGAUAUCGUAGUCCCGUAGACUAGACACUGCAGUAGUCAGUGUUGUUUACAGAAAAACAAGUAUGACAUGGACUUGCUCUGUGAAUAGGCUCUAUACAAACUGUGGCCGUGUUGAUUAGUUUGAGAAGAAGAAAAAAAAAAAAGAAAAGAAAAGAGAGAAAUAUUUGAAACCGAUGUUUUGAGCGUGAAGUCAACGAUCAUAAGUAAGAAACAUGAAAGAUAAGCCACUAUUUUUUCUAGCGUCUUAAAGUGACCUUUCUAUAAAUACUUCUUAUCCCCCUUUUUUCCUCUCCUUCUUUCCUUCACACAAAGACAAACGAACCGAUUAUUUUUUUUUCUCUCUCUCUAACACACAUGUACGCACACAAAAGUGUACUUUCUCACAAACUCUUUCACUCGCACA